This 6157-nucleotide long non-coding RNA is filed under the name Homo sapiens (human). RNAcentral describes it as "HSALNT0301747". Lineage: Eukaryota; Metazoa; Chordata; Mammalia; Primates; Hominidae. The record is from RNAcentral.
GGUUCAAGUGAUCCUCCCACCUCGACUUCCACAAGCGCUAGGAUUACAGCCCUUCUCCCCCACUGCACCUCCCCACAUUUUUAUAUUAUACUCUGGAAGGAAGCCACAAGGCAUAGCACACAAUUAAGAAGCAGCGAUUUAUACUCCACUCUUUGAUGGCAAAAUAUCUACAGAAAUUAUUUGAACUUCUUCUGCCCGGGAGAUUUAUCUAUUGUCCCCCAUUGAUUUAUUUAUUCAAUCAUUUGUUUGUAUCAUUAUGGUCUCAUGGAUAUCUAUUUUGCACUUUCAAUACUAUUUUAUUUUGUUGCUCAAGUUGUUCCAGCCCUGGCCAUGGAGAAUACAUUCAGUUGGCUCCUGUGUCCCUGUAACAUAGCCCUGUCAUUAUUGGAUUUGGUUGAGCACUUUCUUACUUUCAGGAGCUACAAAAUGCUCUAGGUUCGUCUUGUAUAUUUCCUGCUCCAUCCUAGAGUCCAUGUCUCCAAGGAGCUUGGUUCUUUUAUUGGAGAAUGUAUUAGAAACCAAGACCUGGACAUGCUCCUUGUUGCAAAGGUGUUAUUGCUUCUAGGCUCAGCUGACAGAGAAAUAACAUAUAUGUGUGUAAAUUAACCCAUGUCUAUACACAUAUAUCUACAAAUCCUUCUCUUUGUAACUAUCUGUAUCUAUAUUAAGCUAAAUAUGAGUUGAUACUGAUGUCUCCAAUCCCAACCCAGUAGCACAUAGAUAAUUCUAACCUUCUCCCCCUUGCUUGUUUCCUCUCCCUCCUACAAUGAAGAACCUGGCUUCUGCCAUCAGCCAUUCGUUUAUUUCAUUGUUCAAUUCCAGUCUCCUGUAGAGUACUUCCAUAAUUGUUAAGCCAUACCCACAUAGAAAUAACUUUAUAAGUUUGAGUGCUUAUACAGAGCUCUUUUUGCCUUUAAUCUUACAGACUCGAUUCAUUUCCAAACUUACUUACGUAAGCAUUUUCUCUCACAUCCCCUUCAGUACGCUUAUUUCAUGCAUUUGUAAUACAGUUAGAUUAUUUUGCCAUAUUUUACAUUUCAUCCUGGAAUCCUCCAACCUUCUAAAUAUUUUUUAAAUUUUGUAUAAUUAAGUUUCUCUAUGCCAUGAAGUUCUAUGGGCUUUGACAAGUGCAUAGUGUCAUGUAUCUAGUAUUAUCACAAUAUCAUAAAAAGAUAGUUUUACCACCCUUUAAAAAAUCCCUAGUGGUUGACCUAUUCAAUUCCUUUCACCAAGAGUUUCUGAAACCACUGGUCUAUUUGCCAUCUCCAUAAGAGUUUUGCCUUUUCCAGGAUAUUACUUAAAUGGAAUUAUACCUUAUGUAGCCUUUUAAGACUGGCUUUUUUCACUUAGCAACAUGCAUUUAAGAUUCAUCUAUGUCUUCCUGUGGUUUGACAGCUCAUUCCAUUGUGUGGAUGUGCCACAGUUUAUUUAGCCAUUCACCUACUAAAGUUUACUUCUAGUUUUUGGUAGUUGUAAAUAAAACUGCUAUAAAAUUCUCAUGCUGAUUUUUGUGUAGACAUAAGUUCUCAACUCAUUUAAGUAAAUACUUACGAACAUGAUUGCUGGGUCCUAUGAUGAGGCUAUGUUUAACUCUAAGAAACUGCCAAACUGUCUUCCAAAGUGGCUGUAACCGUUUUAAAUUCACACCAGCAAUGAAUGAGACUCCUGUUGUUCCACAAAGUUCCGUUGAUCCUUGUCAGCAAAUGGUAUUGUCAGUUAUUUUUGGAUUUUAGCCAUCCUUAUAGGUGUAUAAUAGUACCUCGUUGUUUAACCGCUUUUAAAAAUAUUAAAAGUUUGUCAGGAGUGGGGAGUAAAACUUAAAAACUAAACAAGAAAUCUGAGUCACCAGCAUGAGCCAUAGAGAACACUGUUGAGAUAGCUCAGGCUAUAGAAGAGGUGCUCCUCUUCCGGGUCCUAUAAGAAGCAGGAUGUAGAAACCACCAACUUGUUUCCUCCACUUGACUUUAGCUCUUAUGUUCUCCAUUAUCAAGUAAGAGAGCAAACAAAGUUGUGGGAGCUAAUAAGGCUUUACAUAAAAUAAAUGAGAAAGAGAGGAGAGAAAUGCAAAAAGUAACUUCUCAGAACACAGAAGACAUUAUCCUUUCCAAACCAAAAUGAAAAACAUGUCCAAAAAGAGAAGAGAGGGCUGUCAUCUGGAUAGAGGAGAUGAUCCUAGAAACCCUGAUGGCUCCUUUUUAUUAAUAUAAGAGUACCUGGGAUUUGUUUUAAUCAGGUAUGGUAAGACAUGCAGAAAAGACAGUCAUGAAGGAAUAAGUUUUUAUACUUACAGAUACCUAAUAACAGGAGCACCCUAGGUAGGGCAACAUGGAGAAGGGUGAGUCAAGAGAAAGAAGGAGUGAGGGGGGAUCGUGGACAAGAACCUUUAUUGAGAAGGGAAAGGCAGAGUAAGCAGGUUUAGGAUUGGCUAGUUUGAAUAAUUCCAGCAGGAUCUGGGGCAUAGGGGCUGUCUCUAGUCAUCUGGUAUCCUGUCAUGGCCUAGGGUGAUUAGGACAGUGGGAUAGUGGGUCUGCAUAUAAGAGCCAGAUAAAGGAGGUGGUAGAAGUGUGGGCUUUGGAUUGGCUGGUUUGCGUAUGAAAGAUAGGCUCCCAGGCAAGUUGCUAUCUCUAGGAAUUUCAUAACCCUGGGAGGGGCAGUUCCUUUCAACGUCAGCUAGACUCCAAGAUGUUGAAGAAUCAGAAUAAAAAGACAUACUUAAUACACUUCUUACAUCAUUUUUAUUGUUGGGUCUACUUUUGCUGAAGCUGCCUGCGACUGUCCUUGGUCUUUUCCCCCGUGACCUCCCUGGUUCCUGAGAUCUGAGCAGUAUAAGCUUCUCCAGAUGCUUGAGGGACAGGGUUGCACCAUCUUGGCCUUGUGAUCUACCUGCCUCCACCUCCGAAAGUGCUGGGAUUACAGGUACCAAAAAGGAUGAACAAAGACAUUCUGACAUUACAACAGGCUGGAUUUGCUACGAGGUAUACAAAUGAAGAAGGCUUGGAGAAAGAAUUAGCGGGGAUUCGCAUCUAGAUAAAGCAAGUUAUCACUGUCUGCAUAACCUUGAAUGAAUCACAGACCUUUCUCUAGCUCAUUCAUUAAAGCUUUGUUUAAUUCAACAAAUAUUUAUCACAUGACAGGCGCCUGCCCUAAGCACUGGGGCUUCAUUCAUUUAUUCAUUCAACAAAUAUUUAUUAAAUCUCUACUAUGUGCCAAGCACUGAUCACGGGGUUGGGAUACAGCCAUGAAUAAAAUAGGCAAUAUUUCUGCCCCUCAUGGAGUUUAUAUUCUAGUGGUAUGGGGAGCAGGGAGGCAAUAAACAAAUAAAUAUACAAUCAACAUGUCAGGUGUUAAGUGCUAUGUAGAAGAAUAAAGGGGGUACUGGGAUAAGGAAGGCCAUGGGUGAUACUUUAUCUAGGAUGUCUUGGAAGGCAGGCCUCUGGGAGUUCAGAUUUAAGCAGACAUGGGAAGAAAGCUAAGGAGGGAGACAUACAGGUAUGUGGGGAAAGAACACAUAACAAAGAGUACAAUAGGCAUGACUCAAUCAAUUAUACCUCAGUAAAGCUGGAAAAAAAAGGAAUGACUCAUUCUAUACAAAAGCCUUCUACUUUGCCUCAAAUCCCUUCUGGAAAGAAGAAAUGUGUAAAUCAACCAUAAAUGCCUUACCUACCCAGCAAGAACAGAACGACCUAAAAUGAAGAUGAAAUGAAAAAGUGUUUUUAGAAGUAUAGAAGGCUAUAUAAAUAUACAGUAAUGCUCUUUAUUAGUCACUGGUUUACACUAACAGGAUCAAGUAUGCAUCUAUAUUUGAAGGUCUUAUGCACAAAUUAAAUUGGUGCUGGCCCAAGUUCAAGAGCUAAUACAAAUGCCAAAAACGUAUUUGGUGGUUAUGGUGAGUGACCGUGUAACCUGCUUAGAACUGUACCCUAGGCCUGUAGUCCUCAUGCAAACAUAGCCUCUCAUAGUAUAUCUCAUAGUAUACCAUUUCCUGCUGCAUUUGAUUAGGCAAAGCUGAAAUCUCCCAACCAAGAUGUGACCUAAAUUUCUUUAUUUACAAGGAAAUCACUGGUUAGAAAAUUCCUUAGCCUUGGCAAUUAGUCAAUCAAGUUCAUUAGCAGAGGUUGACAUAUUUCCAGGACUGGUGAAAUUUUAAUUGGGUAGUAAGGAGGAGAAUACUCAAGCUUUAAGGAAAUUCUCAUUCAAAAUGUUCUAACCUUCCAGCUUCUCCUACAUUUUCCUUAAAUCUAACUUAGGGGGAUAAUCCAGACCAUACACACAUGAAUUCAGCCUGGAUGUGGCAUUUUGGAAGAAAACCCCAGCUGAGUACACAUGAAUGUGUCUCAGCUUUGCCAGAAGAAAAAUAGUUGUGCAUUAUACAUGGACUAUACAGACAUUUUUUGUAAGUCUUACUUUAAAAUGUUUGAAUUUUCAAACUUAAAAUGUUCCAUGUGUUUAGUGUUUCUUGUUUCAUUAGACUAAAGAGAAGUGGUUGAAAAUUCAGUCUCAGCAAACAUGUGGUAUAUUCCAAGAAUGUUUCAUAUAUUAUGAUUUCGUAGCUAUAGAGUUGUAAACAUGGCUUUUACACUCAUUACUGGUUGUAGUUAAAAGAUCAUUUAUUCAAUAAACAUUUAUUGAGUACCUACUAUAUGCCAGGCCCUAUUCUAGGCACAGGAGAUACAGCAGCAAAUAAAGUUCAUACAUUUAAGGAAACAGGCCAUAAAUGAAUUUGUAAAUAAAUAUAACGCAAGUAGUGAAGCAAUUGUUCUUCCUGUUUUAUUUAGGGAAAGGGAGUGUGGGAGGGGCUGCUAUUUUAGAAAGAAAGCCUCUCCCUUGAAGUCUCAUUUGAAUAAAGAUCUUAAUGAGCCUUUUGCUGAUUUGGGGAAGAAUCCCCACACAGACAAGAGUGGGCCAGGCUCUGUUGUCGGGAGUGCCUGGAACAGCCUGAAGGCCAAUGUGGCUGGGGCAGAGUGAGAGGUGAGCAAAGUAGUAGGAAAUGAGAUCUUAUGUGAAACCCCCAUGUCAUAGGGUUCUUGCACACCCAAAGUGGAAUGACUACUGAGUCCACAGUCUGGCUUCAUUUUCUGGACGUUCAAGUGAUGAUAAGGAAUUGCAAGGAAAGCCUGCUGUCAAACAACAAUCUCCUCAUUAAGUUUCACAUGAACACAUACAAAAAAGGACAUUCUCUUUUUCCCUCUCAGGACCUUUGCAUUUCAACAGCUUGAAAUGCUCUUCUUUACUCCUCUUCCUAUCAAAUUCCCCAGGUUUAAUUUAAGCUCUGCCCCCUGUGAGAAUCUUCUCUUAACUCCUCCAGCUGACACUGAGUCAAUCUUCUUUGUGACUAGGGGGUCUUAACCUAGGACUUCCCUGGCAUCAAUAGAUUAUUUACAGGAACUCUGAAACUGCAUAUGAAAAAUUUUGUGUAUCAAUCAAUAUGCUUUUCCAAGGGUGCUCAUAAAUCCCAUGAGAUUUUCAAAUGAGUUUGUAGCUUUGAAAGGUGGAGAACCACCAAGCACUCAUGGACGGUGCUUCUCAAACAUUAAAUCUGCACGCAAACUAUCCACAUUUCAUUAGACUGAAGAUUCCAACUUGGUAGCCCUGGAGUGAGGCUUGGUGCUGCUGGUCCUGGGACCAUACUUGGUAGCAAGAGACUAGAAUGUGGUCAGCAUUUGCUUGUGUACACUGGCAAGGUGCUCUCUGCACUUAGGUAGAUCACAGGUUUCUGGACAGCAAGGGCACUGACAAUACUACUUGGCUUUUCUCCCAAGUAGGGACUAAUAGAAAAACAGCCCACUGUUGGGCCUGACAGGUGGUCUACAGAUACCAGGCUUCUAAGGUUACCACCAAAUGUUUUUAAGGCUAAACCUUUCCAAAAUUCACAGCAGAAUCUCAAAACUCCUAAAAUCUUCCUGAAGCAAAGCUUUUUCCUCUCUUCCGGUAGUAGACUCCCAUAACAUGUUGAAACCUAAAUCCAUCAACUCUACAAGCUAUCAUAGUUAGCACAGGAAAUGCACUCAUUUGGAAGAAUAAUUCACUAUAUGAGGGAUCAGUUACUCACUGAAGAUGUUCAGUACAAAGAAAUAACGUGAGGCACAGGGCAUGGUGGCUCAUGCCUGUAAUCCCAGCACUUUCGGAGGCUGAGGCAGAAGGAUCACUUGAGGCCAGG